AGAGUUUGAUCCUGGCUCAGAUUGAACGCUGGCGGCAGGCCUAACACAUGCAAGUCGAGCGGUAGCACAGAGAGCUUGCUCUCGGGUGACGAGCGGCGGACGGGUGAGUAAUGUCUGGGAAACUGCCUGAUGGAGGGGGAUAACUACUGGAAACGGUAGCUAAUACCGCAUAACGUCGCAAGACCAAAGUGGGGGACCUUCGGGCCUCAUGCCAUCAGAUGUGCCCAGAUGGGAUUAGCUGGUAGGUGGGGUAACGGCUCACCUAGGCGACGAUCCCUAGCUGGUCUGAGAGGAUGACCAGCCACACUGGAACUGAGACACGGUCCAGACUCCUACGGGAGGCAGCAGUGGGGAAUAUUGCACAAUGGGCGCAAGCCUGAUGCAGCCAUGCCGCGUGUGUGAAGAAGGCCUUCGGGUUGUAAAGCACUUUCAGCGGGGAGGAAGGCGGUGAGGUUAAUAACCUCAUCGAUUGACGUUACCCGCAGAAGAAGCACCGGCUAACUCCGUGCCAGCAGCCGCGGUAAUACGGAGGGUGCAAGCGUUAAUCGGAAUUACUGGGCGUAAAGCGCACGCAGGCGGUCUGUCAAGUCGGAUGUGAAAUCCCCGGGCUCAACCUGGGAACUGCAUUCGAAACUGGCAGGCUAGAGUCUUGUAGAGGGGGGUAGAAUUCCAGGUGUAGCGGUGAAAUGCGUAGAGAUCUGGAGGAAUACCGGUGGCGAAGGCGGCCCCCUGGACAAAGACUGACGCUCAGGUGCGAAAGCGUGGGGAGCAAACAGGAUUAGAUACCCUGGUAGUCCACGCUGUAAACGAUGUCGAUUUGGAGGUUGUGCCCUUGAGGCGUGGCUUCCGGAGCUAACGCGUUAAAUCGACCGCCUGGGGAGUACGGCCGCAAGGUUAAAACUCAAAUGAAUUGACGGGGGCCCGCACAAGCGGUGGAGCAUGUGGUUUAAUUCGAUGCAACGCGAAGAACCUUACCUGGUCUUGACAUCCACAGAACUUUCCAGAGAUGGAUUGGUGCCUUCGGGAACUGUGAGACAGGUGCUGCAUGGCUGUCGUCAGCUCGUGUUGUGAAAUGUUGGGUUAAGUCCCGCAACGAGCGCAACCCUUAUCCUUUGUUGCCAGCGGUUAGGCCGGGAACUCAAAGGAGACUGCCAGUGAUAAACUGGAGGAAGGUGGGGAUGACGUCAAGUCAUCAUGGCCCUUACGACCAGGGCUACACACGUGCUACAAUGGCAUAUACAAAGAGAAGCGACCUCGCGAGAGCAAGCGGACCUCAUAAAGUAUGUCGUAGUCCGGAUUGGAGUCUGCAACUCGACUCCAUGAAGUCGGAAUCGCUAGUAAUCGUAGAUCAGAAUGCUACGGUGAAUACGUUCCCGGGCCUUGUACACACCGCCCGUCACACCAUGGGAGUGGGUUGCAAAAGAAGUAGGUAGCUUAACCUUCGGGAGGGCGCUUACCACUUUGUGAUUCAUGACUGGGGUGAAGUCGUAACAAGGUAGCCGUAA
This 1505-nucleotide ribosomal RNA is filed under the name Klebsiella variicola. RNAcentral's name for it is "bacterial SSU rRNA". It matches the Rfam family "Bacterial small subunit ribosomal RNA". Lineage: Bacteria; Pseudomonadati; Pseudomonadota; Gammaproteobacteria; Enterobacterales; Enterobacteriaceae. The record is from RNAcentral.